AACAACAACAGUAGCAGCUGCCGGCUCUCCAGACCUGGAGUCAGCUCCUGCAGCAACUAGGGAGCUCUCAGUCUGCAGGGGCCUGGAUGCUGGGGGGCGGG
This 101-nucleotide microRNA precursor is filed under the name Canis lupus familiaris (dog). Its description in RNAcentral is "mir-8834 microRNA precursor family". It matches the Rfam family "mir-8834 microRNA precursor family". RNAcentral also lists the same sequence under 1 other name. Lineage: Eukaryota; Metazoa; Chordata; Mammalia; Carnivora; Canidae. The record is from Rfam by way of RNAcentral.